RNAcentral lists this ribosomal RNA (468 nucleotides) under uncultured bacterium. Its description in RNAcentral is "partial 16S ribosomal RNA". It matches the Rfam family "Bacterial small subunit ribosomal RNA", at positions 28 to 507 of the family's 1533-position model. The record is from RNAcentral.
GACGAACGCUGGCGGCGUGCUUAACACAUGCAAGUCGAACGGAAAGGCCCUGCUUUUGUGGGGUGCUCGAGUGGCGAACGGGUGAGUAACACGUGAGUAACCUGCCCUUGACUUUGGGAUAACUUCAGGAAACUGGGGCUAAUACCGGAUAGGAGCUCCUGCUGCAUCGUGGGGGUUGGAAAGUUUCGGCGGUUGGGGAUGGACUCGCGGCUUAUCAGCUUGUUGGUGGGGUAGUGGCUUACCAGGGCUUUGACGGGUAGCCGGCCUGAGAGGGUGACCGGCCACAUUGGGACUGAGAUACGGCCCAGACUCCUACGGGAGGCAGCAGUGGGGAAUAUUGCACAAUGGGCGGAAGCCUGAUGCAGCAACGCCGCGUGCGGGAUGACGGCCUUCGGGUUGUAAACCGCUUUCGCCUGUGACGAAGCGUGAGUGACGGUAAUGGGUAAAGAAGCACCGGCUAACUACGUG